UCUUAUCAUUUUAUAUUACUUGUGCAACUCGGUACACUUGCCGAUUUGCCCCAAUAAGUUUUUGGCGUGGUUACCGGGACUCACGGUUUAAGCUAUUCUAUUUGUGUGAUUCUAGAUUAAUUUUGAAUUUAUUUUAUUUUUAUUUUCUUAUUUUUAUUUUUCCAUUUUUAUUUUUUCAAUCCCUAAUUUCUAUUUUUGUACUAACAAUCUCUCUAGAAUUUUUGUGCAAGCCUCACAAUAUGAUAUAACAGGAUGCACUUCUACUAAGGUGAUUUCAACUACUAGUGGGAACCUUACCCAGGCACAAAUCAAAGUCAAUAUGGUCAAGUUGGUGGGCUAUUCACUAGACCACCACAAGCCAACAGUACUACAAAGCUUGAAGAGACUCUCCAGCAAUUCUUACAAGAAUCCUUCUCAAUUCAGAAACGCACCCAAGCGGUAUCCGAAAGGAUGAAGGCAGAUUUUGAC
This 468-nucleotide long non-coding RNA is filed under the name Vigna radiata. Its description in RNAcentral is "long non-coding RNA (VRAD_LNC013279)". The record is from RNAcentral. Lineage: Eukaryota; Viridiplantae; Streptophyta; Magnoliopsida; Fabales; Fabaceae.